RNAcentral lists this small RNA (325 nucleotides) under Arabidopsis thaliana (thale cress). Its description in RNAcentral is "ATSL126240". Lineage: Eukaryota; Viridiplantae; Streptophyta; Magnoliopsida; Brassicales; Brassicaceae. The record is from RNAcentral.
AUAUUAUGAACUUUAAUUGCCCAAGCAUCUGUGAUCCAGUGGUGGGAGAAGAUUUGGGGAAGGGUGAAACUUUCAGAGCUGGGUUCGAUCCUCCCUGGAAACAAAAAUCACAUUUGUUUGGAAAGUCUGUCAGUUGGGCUUUAGCCCAAUUGGUUUACCUGGUAGUCAGAAAUGCAGGCGGCCUGACUACCCCCUGGCAUUAGUCGGAAAGCAUCCAAAUUCGGGACAGACAGUGUGGUGGUCUUUCGGGGAGAAGUCCACUCUGAAGUAUUUCGGUGCAUUUCUACUGAGGCUGACCGGAUCAGCCGAUAAAGUUUAUAAAAUA